This 71-nucleotide transfer RNA is filed under the name Loxodonta africana (African savanna elephant). It matches the Rfam family "tRNA". From Rfam's summary of the family: Transfer RNA (tRNA) molecules are approximately 80 nucleotides in length. The record is from Rfam by way of RNAcentral. Lineage: Eukaryota; Metazoa; Chordata; Mammalia; Proboscidea; Elephantidae.
GCAGUGGUGGUUCAGUGCUAGAAUUCUCGCCUUCCACGCAGGAGACCUGGGUUCGAUUCCUGGCCGAUGCA